Molecule: ribosomal RNA, 865 nt
Filed under: uncultured bacterium
Lineage: Bacteria
Description: bacterial SSU rRNA
Rfam family: Bacterial small subunit ribosomal RNA
Source: RNAcentral
AGGAUGAACGCUGGCGGCGUGCUUAACACAUGCAAGUCGAACGGUGAAAGUGGGAGCUUGCUCCUGCUGGAUCAGUGGCGAACGGGUGAGUAACACGUGAGUAACCUGCCCUUGGCUCUGGGAUAAGCGCUGGAAACGGCGUCUAAUACCGGAUACGAGCUUCGGAGGCAUCUCCAGGAGCUGGAAAGAACUUCGGUCAAGGAUGGACUCGCGGCCUAUCAGCUAGUUGGUGAGGUAACGGCUCACCAAGGCGACGACGGGUAGCCGGCCUGAGAGGGUGACCGGCCACACUGGGACUGAGACACGGCCCAGACUCCUACGGGAGGCAGCAGUGGGGAAUAUUGCACAAUGGGCGCAAGCCUGAUGCAGCAACGCCGCGUGAGGGACGACGGCCUUCGGGUUGUAAACCUCUUUUAGUAGGGAAGAAGCGAAAGUGACGGUACCUGCAGAAAAAGCACCGGCUAACUACGUGCCAGCAGCCGCGGUAAUACGUAGGGUGCAAGCGUUAUCCGGAAUUAUUGGGCGUAAAGAGCUCGUAGGCGGUUUGUCGCGUCUGCUGUGAAAACCCGAGGCUCAACCUCGGGCCUGCAGUGGGUACGGGCAGACUAGAGUGCGGUAGGGAGAAUGGAAUUCCUGGUGUAGCGGUGGAAUGCGCAGAUAUCAGGAGGAACACCGAUGGCGAAGGCAGUUCUCUGGGCCGUAACUGACGCUGAGGAGCGAAAGCGUGGGGAGCGAACAGGAUUAGAUACCCUGGUAGUCCACGCCGUAAACGUUGGGCGCUAGAUGUGGGGACCAUUCCACGGUUUCCGUGUCGCAGCUAACGCAUUAAGCGCCCCGCCUGGGGAGUACGGCCGCAAGGCUAAAA